Molecule: long non-coding RNA, 619 nt
Filed under: Olea europaea subsp. europaea
Lineage: Eukaryota; Viridiplantae; Streptophyta; Magnoliopsida; Lamiales; Oleaceae
Source: RNAcentral
AGGGAAAAUGCUGUUGGAAUCUUGUAGAAUGCUAGAAAAGGAGAUGAAUAGGGAGAGGGAUGUCAGGUUAUAAAGGAAUAGUGGGAGCAAGAUUAAAUCUUUGCAAUUGUUUCCAUUAUAACAAAAGAGAAAGGGAGACCAAUCAAGCUUGACACCUCCCCCAUGAGAUAGUCACAGAUUUGCCGUGGUUUCUUUGCCAAGGUAUGUAAUGAAUUAGAUCUGCAGAAGCCCAUAAGACAAAGGAAGAACGGAAAUGAGGAAAAUCCAAAGUGAUAGGAAGAAAAGAGGAGAGGUGGGGAGGAGGAGGAAACCAAGAAGGAAAGAGGGAGUUGGCUAAACAUACUCAUUUAAUCUCAAUAAAUAAAGGGAAAAUUACAGCUGGGUUACCCAACCUAUGCAACAUAGAGGAAUUAGGUCCUUGACCUUCUAUGUGUUGUACUUGGGUUCUCAACAAUUCAAUUUUGUAGCACUUGCCAAUUGGAUCUCCAGUGGAUGGAUUCUAUCUGUUUCGCAGUUAAAAAUGUCACGGGUUGUCCAAUUUUAUGUCGUUUCUAUCUUGUAUUAAUUGAUAAUACAUUUCUUGCGUAUUAUCCAUGAUUAAUAAAAUAUUUGAUUGCCU